Molecule: RNA transcript, 1537 nt
Organism: Daucus carota subsp. sativus
Lineage: Eukaryota; Viridiplantae; Streptophyta; Magnoliopsida; Apiales; Apiaceae
Gene name: protein LAZY 1
Exons: 5
Source: RefSeq, a predicted model, not a curated record
GUUCACCCUUCGAGUGCAUUAUCAGCAUUUACAUACGCAAGGUGCAGUUGCUCAUCAGUAUCAAGGGUAUCAAACAUACACCUCUAGAAGCAAAGACAGAUUAUGAAGUUAUUAGGUUGGAUGCAUCAGAAGCUUCGGCAGACUAGUGGCGAAACACUCAAGGAGUAUUCCAAUAUUGGGCAGCCAUUACUUAUUUACUUGAUGAACAACAGUACUACUACUCAAACCCAAAUUAUUGCUCCAGGACCUUGAGCAAAACACAGAUAGAAAACCAUCUGCAUAAAUCAGUUUUCAGGCCAGAAUCAGCAGGAGAGAAGAAGGACCUUGGAGAGGAACCUUCUUCUUUUUCUGAACUCUUCCAUGGUUUUCUUUCAAUUGGUACGCUUGGUACAGACCCAAUUAUUGUCGAUCCAUCUACACCAAUAUCAUCCAUCUCUGUUGAGAAGUUAGCUGAUGAAAGAACUGAAGUAACAGAAAGUGAAUUAAGGCUAAUAAAUGAAGAAUUGGUAAAAGUUCUGGGAGCUGAUAGAAAUGAUGGUAGCAAUGAUUCAUCUGUUACUGAUAGAAACAGCCAUGCCACUGCUGGACGACGCAACCAAGAAAGCACUAUUGGUCUUAUUGGCAAGCCCAUGGAAGGAGCUGAGAGUAGUAUGAAGGAGCCAAUAAUUUGUCCACUCCAGGGCUACCUUUUAAGCGCGGAAAUGGGAGUGCCAGAUACAACAGUGUCAAAGAAGGAAAAGAGGACAUCACUUGGAGAGCUGUUUCAAAAAACUAAAGUGGCCGAGGAAAAUUCUGGUUUCAGUUAUGAGAAGACAGAGAAGGAAUCAGAUAAAUCUGGCAUGAAGUUUAUGAAAAGGCUGCUGAAGAAGAAAAUGAUUCAUGAUUCCUCGAGAAGUUCAACCUCUUCUAAAGGAAACUCUGAUUCUGCUAAAGCAUACAAGAAACGGCCUAAGAUCCUACGCAUGUUCCACAGGAAAGUCCAUCCCGAGAUCUCAGUGGAACUUGACAAGUUACAGGUAAAUGGUAUGAAGAACAUCAUGAAUGAGGGCAUCAACAGUGAUAGAGACCAGAUGAACCCUGAUAUCACAAUAUGUCCUCAAAGGGUUCUGUAUAGGAAUGGCACAGGGCCGUGCAAGAGCCGGUCUAACUUACCCCAAGGCACCGAUGCAAGUGAUUCACAGGGGAACAGGGAGCACUGGAUUAAAACAGACACAAACUACUUGGUGUUGGAGCUGUAAGAGACAGAAUGGGGAGCUGAAGCUGAGAUCAAAACUUGUUGGAAUUGGACAACUUGUUGGAAUUGGACAUUUAGUUAAACAUUACUGCAUGUAAGAUACUCCUUUCCUUAUCAAAACUGUGUGAUCUAGCAGUGUUAUUUGAGCUUGAGACAAUGAUAAGAAUAAAAGAGGUUUUGUCAUGUAAAGUUUUAAAGGUUGCUUGUUUGAGAAUGUUAUGAUUGUAAUAUACGAGUAUUUGAAAUACUUUCUUAAAAACAAUUUAAUGAAAUAUUUGAUUGUAGAAAUUUUGUUUUCAUUCC